UGUGGGAUCAGUGGCGAACGGGUGAGUAACACGUGAGCAACCUGCCCCUGACUCUGGGAUAAGCGCUGGAAACGGCGUCUAAUACUGGAUAUGUGACGUGACCGCAUGGUCUGCGUCUGGAAAGAAUUUCGGUUGGGGAUGGGCUCGCGGCCUAUCAGCUUGUUGGUGAGGUAAUGGCUCACCAAGGCGUCGACGGGUAGCCGGCCUGAGAGGGUGACCGGCCACACUGGGACUGAGACACGGCCCAGACUCCUACGGGAGGCAGCAGUGGGGAAUAUUGCACAAUGGGCGCAAGCCUGAUGCAGCAACGCCGCGUGAGGGACGACGGCCUUCGGGUUGUAAACCUCUUUUAGCAGGGAAGAAGCGAAAGUGACGGUACCUGCAGAAAAAGCGCCGGCUAACUACGUGCCAGCAGCCGCGGUAAUACGUAGGGCGCAAGCGUUAUCCGGAAUUAUUGGGCGUAAAGAGCUCGUAGGCGGUUUGUCGCGUCUGCUGUGAAAUCCGGAGGCUCAACCUCCGGCCUGCAGUGGGUACGGGCAGACUAGAGUGCGGUAGGGGAGAUUGGAAUUC
This 570-nucleotide ribosomal RNA is filed under the name uncultured bacterium. RNAcentral describes it as "bacterial SSU rRNA". It matches the Rfam family "Bacterial small subunit ribosomal RNA", at positions 85 to 669 of the family's 1533-position model. The record is from RNAcentral.